UUUAAAAACCAUCCAGCCUAAACAUGCCAGAUCUUGUCUGAUCUCAGAAGCUAAGCAGGGUCAGAUCUGGUUAGUACUUGGAUGGGAGACCACCUAGGAAGACCAGGUGCUGUAGGCA
RNAcentral lists this ribosomal RNA (118 nucleotides) under Pteropus alecto (black flying fox). Lineage: Eukaryota; Metazoa; Chordata; Mammalia; Chiroptera; Pteropodidae. The record is from RNAcentral.